Molecule: ribosomal RNA, 272 nt
Filed under: uncultured Latescibacterota bacterium
Lineage: Bacteria; Pseudomonadati; Candidatus Latescibacterota
Description: uncultured Latescibacteria bacterium partial 16S ribosomal RNA
Rfam family: Bacterial small subunit ribosomal RNA
Source: RNAcentral
UAGUUGCCAUCAGGUAAAGCUGGGAACUCUGGGGAGACUGCCGGUGAUAAACCGGAGGAAGGCGGGGAUGACGUCAAGUCCUCAUGGCCCUUACAUCCCGGGCUACACACGUGCUACAAUGGCAGGUACAGAGGGCUGCGAAGCCGCGAGGUGGAGCGAAUCCCAGAAAACCUGUCUCAGUCCGGAUUGAAGUCUCGCAACUCGACUUCAUGAAGGCGGAAUCGCUAGUAACCGCGAAUCAGCAGGUCGCGGUGAAUACGUUCCCGGGCCUU